GAUGAACGCUGGCGGCGUGCCUAAUACAUGCAAGUCGAGCGAACAGACGAGGAGCUUGCUCCUUCGACGUUAGCGGCGGACGGGUGAGUAACACGUAUGUCACCUCCCUAUAAGACUGGGAUAACUUCGGGAAACCGGAGCAUAUACCGGAUGAUAUUUCGAACCGCAUGGUUCGAUAGUGAAAGAUGGCUUUGCUAUCACUUAUAGCUGGUCCUGCGCCGUAUUAGCUAGUUGGUAAGGUAACGGCUUACCAAGGCAACGAUACGUAGCCGACCUGAGAGAGGGAUAGGCGACACGGGAACUGAGACACGGUCCAGACUCCUACGGGAGGGAGCAGUAGGGAAUCUUCCGCAAUGGGCGAAAGCCUGACGGAGCAACGCCGCGUGAGAGAUGAAGGUCUUCGGAUCGUAAAACUCUGUUAUUAGUGAAGAACAAACGUGUAAGUAACUGUGCACGUCGUGACGGUACCGAAUCAGAAAGCCACGGCUAACUACGUG
This 497-nucleotide ribosomal RNA is filed under the name uncultured bacterium. Its description in RNAcentral is "partial 16S ribosomal RNA". It matches the Rfam family "Bacterial small subunit ribosomal RNA", at positions 28 to 507 of the family's 1533-position model. The record is from RNAcentral.